AAUCAACGCUGGCGGCGUGCCUAACACAUGCAAGUCGAACGCGAAAGCCCCUUCGGAGGUAAGUAGAGUGGCGUCCGGGUGAGUAACACGUAGGUAAUCUGCCUUCGGGUGGGGAAUAACCAGUCGAAAGAUUGGCUAAUACCGCAUAAUGCAGCGGCACCUAAUGGUGAUUAGUUGUUAAAGCGGGGGAGUCGUAAGACCUCGCGCCUGAAGAGGAGCCUGCGGCAGAUUAGCUAGNGGUGAGGUAAUGGCUCACCAAGGCUUCGAUCUGUAGCUGGUCUGAGAGGACGGCCAGCCACACUGGCACUGACACACGGGCCAGACUCCUACGGGAGGCAGCAGUGGGGAAUUUUGGGCAAUGGGCGAAAGCCUGACCCAGCAACGCCGCGUGAGGGGAGGAAAUCCUUCGGGAUGUAAACCUCACAAGCAAGGGAAGAGAGCUCAAGGCCGAAUAAGCUUUGAGUCCGACGGUACCUUGCGUAAGCC
This 486-nucleotide ribosomal RNA is filed under the name uncultured bacterium. Its description in RNAcentral is "bacterial SSU rRNA". It matches the Rfam family "Bacterial small subunit ribosomal RNA", at positions 32 to 492 of the family's 1533-position model. The record is from RNAcentral.